GCUCAACAAGAGAAUUGAAAUAAAGAUACAGAGCUAAAGCUUUCCAUAAGAUCCUUCGAAGUAAGCUAUUAGGUUUACAGGGAAGUAACAGCCAGCUGGGUAUUUAGUGGUUUUGAUGAUGCAGCCAUGUUUUAGCGGCAAAGGGAAGCAACAGAAGGAAACAAGGACUCAAAUAUCAUUCUCUUAACUGACUUUCUCUUCUUGGGAAUUACAGUUGCAGUACUCUUCUUUUCAAAGAUUGUCUGUAUCUUAGCUCUGACCUUCUGUAUCUUGGCCCUGAUCUUU
Molecule: unclassified non-coding RNA, 285 nt
Filed under: Hevea brasiliensis (rubber tree)
Lineage: Eukaryota; Viridiplantae; Streptophyta; Magnoliopsida; Malpighiales; Euphorbiaceae
Source: RNAcentral